UGCACUCUGGAGGUAGGAAUCUCAGG
RNAcentral lists this non-coding RNA (26 nucleotides) under Rattus norvegicus (Norway rat). Lineage: Eukaryota; Metazoa; Chordata; Mammalia; Rodentia; Muridae. The record is from RNAcentral.